This 253-nucleotide ribosomal RNA is filed under the name uncultured bacterium. RNAcentral's name for it is "partial 16S ribosomal RNA". It matches the Rfam family "Bacterial small subunit ribosomal RNA", at positions 524 to 776 of the family's 1533-position model. The record is from RNAcentral.
GACAGAGGGUGCAAACGUUGCUCGGAAUUACUGGGCGUAAAGCGCGUGUAGGCGGUUCCGCAAGUCAGGUGUGAAAGCCCAGGGCUCAACCCUGGAAGUGCACUUGAUACUACGGAGCUUGAGUACUGAAGAGGAGAGCGGAAUUCCCGGUGUAGAGGUGAAAUUCGUAGAUAUCGGGAGGAACACCAGUGGCGAAGGCGACUACCUGGCCUGUUCUUGACGCUGAGGCGCGAAAGCUAGGGGAGCAAACGGG